AGCUGGCAUUUCAGUUAACUGCUAGUAGUCUGUUGUUAUUUAUGUAUUAUUGUCAUUUUGUUUAUUUUCUUUGGUUACAUCUUCUGACAUCAGACUCAGAUUUCUCUUGAACUGAAUUUUAAUGUGCGUUUUGUUAUGCGUUUACUUUUCUACAUUGGCUAGAGGUAUAGGGGGAGGGUUGAGAUCUCACAAACAUGUUUAACCCCGCCGCAUUUUUGCGCCUGUCCCAAGUCAGGAGCCUCUGGCCUUUGUUAGUCUUGUAUUAUUUUAAUUUUAGUUUCUUGUGUACAAUUUGGAAAUUAGUAUGGCGUUCAUUAUCACUGAACUAGUAUAUUUGUUUAGGGGCCAGCUGAAGGACGCCUCCGGGUGCGGGAAUUUCUCGCUACAUUGAAGACCUGUUGGUGACCUUCUGCUGUUGUUUUUUUCUAUGGUCGGGUUGUUGUCUCUUUGGC
RNAcentral lists this long non-coding RNA (452 nucleotides) under Mytilus galloprovincialis (Mediterranean mussel). The record is from RNAcentral. Lineage: Eukaryota; Metazoa; Mollusca; Bivalvia; Mytilida; Mytilidae.